ACCCUUUUAAGUAUUGAAAGCAGAUGUUCAAGGGGAAUUAAUACGAAGAUGUUUGAAGAAGAUGAAAUUUGGGGAAGCGGCUUAAAUAAAAUUCUAAAAACAAAAAACUAAGAAUAUUAUUAAAUUCAGCAUCACUUAAUCUAAUGCUAGAGCCAGUUCAAUACUAGAAGUUUCACUCCCAAUACACCGUUUCACAAAAUAGUAGCAUUUAAUUUGCUCCAGGUCAUUCUUGUAGAAAAUCUCCUCCAAUUAGUGUUUGCUAGAAAGGCUUUCAGCCUCAAUAAAGGCCCAUUAUACUUUGUGACAUACUGGCAAAUGGAAAAAGGAGACAAUAGCAGCACAGUUGGAUGGUUUCCAAAUGGAAAUUCACAGAAGGAAGUCCAUACUCCAUAGCAAGCAACAAUACCAGGUUUAUAAUUCAAAAAUCUUGAUUAUAAUUGAAGGCCCCUCCACACAAGAACCACAAUUUAUUUUAAUUCUGUUGUACGUCAAAUGCUCUAAAUUUAAACCAGGACACAACCUUCCAUGACUGUAACGGCUUUUCCUCGCAACAGCACCCUCUGGUUUUGUUCAUCUAAAUGAAUAUCCACUCUUCCACUUCUAGGAGAUGCCUGAACAAAGUAAACAUUAUAGUAUAAUCAAUAUGAUGAAGACCAUAAUGACGAUGAUGAUAACAAUGAUGAUGAUCGGGGGAAGAUUACCGCAUAUGCAAGUAAAUCGCAUUUCCCCAACUUUUGGCUCCAAUAAGGUGCUAAGCUACAAUGUGCACUCCCACAAACAGGAUCCUGAGAGAUAAAAGAUAUUGAGCACAAAGGAAUAUAUGGAGGUAUGCAGAAAUUGUAAUGAAAAGGAAUGGGCCGAUGCUGGGGGGAAUUUUCUCCAGCUGAAAAACACUCUCAUGUGUUCUAAUUUAGCAUGUCCAAUCUGGUCUGCAUACUUUGAAGAAGCAUAUAUAUAAAUUUUCAAAACAAGCUAGAUGUUCGAUGUGAGAAGUUGUUUGAUGCUGCAAAGAAAAACAUUAUAAUGGUUUGAGACCAAGUGACAACUUAUUACCUCCUUGAUCCCCAAUUUGGGACAGAAGAAGCGACUGAAGAAGUCAAAUUCAGAUUCUGGAGGAGCAAGCCCUGUUAUAAUUAACCCCCUCCCUGGAAGUUUUUGUAUAUCAUCAAACUGUGGUUCUAUAUCCACAACGGUCUUCCCAGAUGGUAGCACGACCUGAACCAACACAACACAACUAGCUGUGAAGAAGUUGUCUUUCUCUACCAUAUGAAUUAUAUGGACAAAAAAGUGAAGAAGCAAAGGGCUAAAGGAUUCGAGAAAAUACAAAGAGGUCAUCUCCCUCAGUCUUCUUUAUAUCAAUCACUGAAGCACCAUUCAAGGCUUUGGAUAUUGAUGCAACCUCAGCAGAGUUAUAUUCGACCAUUGGGACAAUCGGGAAAUCUAAUUCGACAGAGAAGUGUUCUUGUGCUUCUCCAUUCUCAUACUUCAAGGCAUCUGAUUUGUUGCCUUGCAUGACUUUUCUGGCAGUUAAAACUCCAGACAGUGUGAUGAACUCUAUCAUAUUUCCCUUCAUCAAGCUGGAAGUGAAGAGAAAGUGUGCUGCUGCUAAGGUAGCAUGGCCACAGAGAUUCACCUGCAAACAAGCGUAGCAUAGACUUAACACAAGGAAGACAUAGCUAGCUGUCAAUUGAAACACAGACACAAGCACUAAUUGGUAAAAUAUGUAUUAGAUUUAUAACGACCUACUCCCAACCAUUAGAUAUGUCUUCCUUGGGCCAAAAGGGUUCUCAAGAUUUUGAAACGCGUCUAAUCUACAUGAUUAAGAGGAACCCAUAAAUAUUCAAGUACUUUUCUCCUUCCCCUAUCUAAUGUGAUAUGUUAAACAAACUCUCAUUUGUAAUGAUCUAUUCCUAUUUGUGUAGAUAUUGUCUGUUUUGCACUAAAGAGGCUCUCAUUUAUAUAUAUAGUGACAGGAACUUUUUUCGGCUAUCCAAGAUAUCAUAAGAUUAGUAUAGUUUAGAUAUCAAAACCUGCAAACCCAGUCAAUGAAGGUUGUAAACAAACACCACAAUAAGGGAUUAAGCUUAAUUAUUAUUUUUCUCUUCAGUUUGGGAAAUGGGGAAGAAGAUUGAAAUACAGCACAAGAAUGUUCUUUUCCUUCAUAUCUAUAUUCAAAUUUGGUAUUUGUGGUUCUCAGAAUUUCUCAAUCGGGGCAUACUUUUUCUUGAAACUAGUACAACCCAAUUGAAGCAAGCAUUGGAUUAAGUCAUCCAAUAAUUCCUGAAAUUAAACUUCAAAGUCAUAAACAAAAGCAAGAAACGGAUUGGGUAGCUGAGAAAAUGGGACGAAAAAAUAAAAUAAAAAUCAAACUUAUCUUAUCAGUGCUUUUUCUUUCAGAGGACUAAUUCCCACCUUUUCUCAACAACCAAACAUAGCAUAUGAUAAAAAUUGUAGAAAUGAACUCACCUCGGUAGUGGGAGUGAACCAUCUGAGCCGAAACCUAGGAGUUAAAAUUGUAGUGGACGAGUCAAGAGCCUCUGGCUCAGUGAUCCGAUUCAAGUAACAAGUUUCAGAGAUAUUGAACUCCAUAGCCAGGGCCUGCAACCAAUCCUCAUCUCUCUCUUCCUCCAACAAGCAAACUGCAGCUGGGUUUCCCUUGAACGCUGAAUCAGUGAAUGCAUCUACCUGUCUCACAAUUCUCAACCAUAGUCAAAUAUAUAGGAUGUACCCACAUCUACAUAUAGAAAAAGAGGGAGAUGCGACACUUACCACUGUGAAUUUGACUGGUUUUUUCGCCAUGAAAGAAAGUUCAGCUGGAAUGGUGUUUUCUGUUAUCUCUGUAUGGUAAGGUGGGGAUGAGAAACUCAACUCUUAAAAGGCGGCUUCUCUUCCGACGACUCUUUUGAGCUGUUUUGCGGUUGGUGGAUUAUGGAAAUAAAAAAUUAUUAAUUACAAGUUUUUUUUAGAUUCCCUUUUUCACAACAGAGAAAGAUAAGAUCCAACUGUUUUAGAAAAGGGUUUUUAAGAAUAAUAUAUUAUUAUAUUUGAUAUUUAAAUGUAUUUAAUAUAUUUAAUAAAUAAAAUUAAAUAAUUAUAUUAUAUGAUUAAAUCAUAUUAACUCAUUUAAUAAUACUUAAAAUUAAAUUCAAAGUAAUAAAUAAAAGAAAUAAUAAAUUUGUUUAGAAAAAAAAAAUUAAGGAUAUAUUUGUUAACUAUUUUUGAAAUUCUAUUUUUUAAAAUAAAAAUUUAGGAAGACACGUUUGAUAAUUUAAAACUAUUUUCUAUUUUUACUUUCAAAAAUAGAAAAUAUUAUACUUUCAGAUAACAUUUUUCAGUUGUUUUAUAUUAUUUUUACCUAUUUUUAAAAAAAUUAUUUUAAAAAUUAAUUAUUCAAUCAAGUAAAAUGAUUAAAAAUAGGUUAAAAAUACUUAAAUUUUUAAAUGAACUUUUAUUCUAUAAAACAUUAAAUAAUAAUUUUAAAAAAUUACUUUAAAAAAAUCAUUUUUAAAACUAUUUUCUAAAACAGUUAUUAAACAAAUCUUAAGUAUAUUUAUUUUUUAAUUUUGAUGUAUGUAUCUUACAUUUUAAUUUUCAAUGUUCAAAAUUUAAUAUUUUGUCCUUAAUUGUUAAAAAAAUCCAUGAUCAAUUUAUUAAGUAAAUAAAUAAGGUUAAAAUACAAAAAAAAAAAAAUUGAUUAAAUUUGAAGCCCACACGCUUUACAGUUGCAUACGAAAAUCUAUAAAAUAAAAAUAAAUAAAUAAAUAAGUGAAACUCCACAGCCCUGGCCUGCAAUCAUUCCUGAUCUCUCUUCCUCUAACAAGCAGACUGCAGCUGGGUUUCCCUUGAACGCUGUCUCUGUGAAUGCAUUUAGCACACUGAAUUUGACUGGUUUUUUCGCCAUUGAAGUGGGGUUGUGGUUGAGUUCACUGGUUAUGGUUUCUCUUUGUCUCAGCCUCUGAGAAAGGUGGAGAUGAGACCAUCAAAAUAUAAGCUGGUUUUGGUCGGUGAAAUAAAAGUAGUAACUGAUACUUCUUGUACAAUACUACCAUCAAUGACAUGACAAUUAUACUUUUCAUACCAUAAUUAGAAUCUUCGCGUGCCAAGGUUAGGUUCAAACAUUUUCCUUUAAAGCCUUUGUGUUAUUCACCUCUUUCUAUUUAAGUAUUAUCUGCAUAUGUGAUUUUUGUGGGGACUCCCCUCCACGUGUCACUCCCCUCAGUACUGCCCGGAUAGCUGCCACAUCAUCCGAAGCCUUCUAUCCGGACCACACAGGCAUGCAGCAAAUGACACUAGACUCCCUAAGUGGGCAACGUCUUCCAACCAGCCUUCAAGCCCCCUUGCUACGUGUAAUCAUUUCCAUCUCACAUGGAGGUGACUGAUGAGAUAUUCCCCAGUCCUUACAUUCAUGUCAAUGGAUUAUCACACACCGUCUCAUACCUCCAGCAAGUUGAAGUGACAGACAACUGCAUCAUGACACAACUUUCGACGGCACCUGCUAGCCGCCUAAAACUGUAAUGAUUGUCCUAUCACCUGCAAGACAGCCAUCAUUAUGGAGAAAGUCAAAGUGUCUAUUCGGCACUACAAUAGCUUUCUCCUAAGCACUAGAAAAAGUCCUCCUGAAGCAUAAUCCAGGUACGCGCGUUUAAGCUGAUCUAUUCAUUCUCUCCUUGAAAGGGUCUGAUCUACCUAACUUAAGCUUCGGAGGGGUGUGCCUGGACCACCUAUUCAGACAUCCUUUGUGCAAAGAAGAAGCUUGCCCAGUUCCCUGUCACUAGGCAUAAGCUCUGAGACGCACAACGUAAGGAGUAUCUGACCUCAGUUGACCUCGCAUAACAAUUUCCAUUGCUAUUUUGAAACUCUUUAGCCCCAACAUCACCACCGUGAAUGACCAACCUGUUGCAUUCUAUUAAACCAAGAAUACUUUACAAGACUAUAAAAUUCUCAUUUGGUGCCUUGGCAGCCAUCACCCAUUUAUGCACACUAUUAGAACGGUGUGGAACUGUUACGCCCAUGACAUCUCUAGAAUGAUUGAGACGUAGUAAAAUUUUAUCCAUUAUUCCCAGAACUUUCACCCAACUCUAGAGGAAGGUAGAGAUCAGUGGACUCCUUUGGAAGAAUGAACAACUUGACUUCAUGUUUACAAAGUUCUACUCUGCUGUAAGUGCUCAAAUCAUGGAUUAUUUAAGAAAAACACGACACAUUGAGGAAAAAAAAUGUAGAUUUAUCGAAAUCCCACCCUUUUAAGUAUUGAAAGCAGAUGUUCAAGGGGAAUUAAUACGAAGAUGUUUGAAGAAGAUGAAAUUUGGGGAAGCCUGAAUUUUACAGGCUUAAAUAAAAUUCUAAAAACAAAAAACUAAGAAUAUUAUUAAAUUCAGCAUCACUUAAUCUAAUGCUAGAGCCAGUUCAAUACUAGAAGUUUCACUCCCAAUACACCGUUUCACAAAAUAGUAGCAUUUAAUUUGCUCCAGGUCAUUCUUGUAGAAAAUCUCCUCCAAUUAGUGUUUGCUAGAAAGGCUUUCAGCCUCAAUAAAGGCCCAUUAUACUUUGUGACAUACUGGCAAAUGGAAAAAGGAGACAAUAGCAGCACAGUUGGAUGGUUUCCAAAUCCAAAUUCACAGAAGGAAGUCCAUACUCCACAGCAAGCAACAAUACCAGGUUUAUAAUUCAAAAUUCUUGAUUAUAAUUGAAGGCUCCUCCACACAAGAACCACAAUUUAUUUUAAUUCUGUUGUACGUCAAAAGAUGAAACUUGCUCUAAACUUAAACCAGGACACAACCUUCCAUGACUGUAACGGCUUUUCCUCGCAACAGCACCCUCUG
RNAcentral lists this long non-coding RNA (5819 nucleotides) under Vitis vinifera (wine grape). RNAcentral's name for it is "long non-coding RNA (VVIN_LNC002018)". Lineage: Eukaryota; Viridiplantae; Streptophyta; Magnoliopsida; Vitales; Vitaceae. The record is from RNAcentral.